This 2921-nucleotide ribosomal RNA is filed under the name Staphylococcus aureus. RNAcentral describes it as "bacterial LSU rRNA". It matches the Rfam family "Bacterial large subunit ribosomal RNA". The record is from RNAcentral. Lineage: Bacteria; Bacillati; Bacillota; Bacilli; Caryophanales; Staphylococcaceae.
UUAAGUUAUUAAGGGCGCACGGUGGAUGCCUUGGCACUAGAAGCCGAUGAAGGACGUUACUAACGACGAUAUGCUUUGGGGAGCUGUAAGUAAGCUUUGAUCCAGAGAUUUCCGAAUGGGGAAACCCAGCAUGAGUUAUGUCAUGUUAUCGAUAUGUGAAUACAUAGCAUAUCAGAAGGCACACCCGGAGAACUGAAACAUCUUAGUACCCGGAGGAAGAGAAAGAAAAUUCGAUUCCCUUAGUAGCGGCGAGCGAAACGGGAAGAGCCCAAACCAACAAGCUUGCUUGUUGGGGUUGUAGGACACUCUAUACGGAGUUACAAAGGACGACAUUAGACGAAUCAUCUGGAAAGAUGAAUCAAAGAAGGUAAUAAUCCUGUAGUCGAAAAUGUUGUCUCUCUUGAGUGGAUCCUGAGUACGACGGAGCACGUGAAAUUCCGUCGGAAUCUGGGAGGACCAUCUCCUAAGGCUAAAUACUCUCUAGUGACCGAUAGUGAACCAGUACCGUGAGGGAAAGGUGAAAAGCACCCCGGAAGGGGAGUGAAAUAGAACCUGAAACCGUGUGCUUACAAGUAGUCAGAGCCCGUUAAUGGGUGAUGGCGUGCCUUUUGUAGAAUGAACCGGCGAGUUACGAUUUGAUGCAAGGUUAAGCAGUAAAUGUGGAGCCGUAGCGAAAGCGAGUCUGAAUAGGGCGUUUAGUAUUUGGUCGUAGACCCGAAACCAGGUGAUCUACCCUUGGUCAGGUUGAAGUUCAGGUAACACUGAAUGGAGGACCGAACCGACUUACGUUGAAAAGAGAGCGGAGGAAUUGAGGGUAGCGGAGAAAUUCCAAUCGAACCUGGAGAUAGCUGGUUCUCUCCGAAAUAGCUUUAGGGCUAGCCUCAAGUGAUGAUUAUUGGAGGUAGAGCACUGUUUGGACGAGGGGCCCCUCUCGGGUUACCGAAUUCAGACAAACUCCGAAUGCCAAUUAAUUUAACUUGGGAGUCAGAACAUGGGUGAUAAGGUCCGUGUUCGAAAGGGAAACAGCCCAGACCACCAGCUAAGGUCCCAAAAUAUAUGUUAAGUGGAAAAGGAUGUGGCGUUGCCCAGACAACUAGGAUGUUGGCUUAGAAGCAGCCAUCAUUUAAAGAGUGCGUAAUAGCUCACUAGUCGAGUGACACUGCGCCGAAAAUGUACCGGGGCUAAACAUAUUACCGAAGCUGUGGAUUGUCCUUUGGACAAUGGUAGGAGAGCGUUCUAAGGGCGUUGAAGCAUGAUCGUAAGGACAUGUGGAGCGCUUAGAAGUGAGAAUGCCGGUGUGAGUAGCGAAAGACGGGUGAGAAUCCCGUCCACCGAUUGACUAAGGUUUCCAGAGGAAGGCUCGUCCGCUCUGGGUUAGUCGGGUCCUAAGCUGAGGCCGACAGGCGUAGGCGAUGGAUAACAGGUUGAUAUUCCUGUACCACCUAUAAUCGUUUUAAUCGAUGGGGGGACGCAGUAGGAUAGGCGAAGCGUGCGAUUGGAUUGCACGUCUAAGCAGUAAGGCUGAGUAUUAGGCAAAUCCGGUACUCGUUAAGGCUGAGCUGUGAUGGGGAGAAGACAUUGUGUCUUCGAGUCGUUGAUUUCACACUGCCGAGAAAAGCCUCUAGAUAGAAAAUAGGUGCCCGUACCGCAAACCGACACAGGUAGUCAAGAUGAGAAUUCUAAGGUGAGCGAGCGAACUCUCGUUAAGGAACUCGGCAAAAUGACCCCGUAACUUCGGGAGAAGGGGUGCUCUUUAGGGUUAACGCCCAGAAGAGCCGCAGUGAAUAGGCCCAAGCGACUGUUUAUCAAAAACACAGGUCUCUGCUAAACCGUAAGGUGAUGUAUAGGGGCUGACGCCUGCCCGGUGCUGGAAGGUUAAGAGGAGUGGUUAGCUUCUGCGAAGCUACGAAUCGAAGCCCCAGUAAACGGCGGCCGUAACUAUAACGGUCCUAAGGUAGCGAAAUUCCUUGUCGGGUAAGUUCCGACCCGCACGAAAGGCGUAACGAUUUGGGCACUGUCUCAACGAGAGACUCGGUGAAAUCAUAGUACCUGUGAAGAUGCAGGUUACCCGCGACAGGACGGAAAGACCCCGUGGAGCUUUACUGUAGCCUGAUAUUGAAAUUCGGCACAGCUUGUACAGGAUAGGUAGGAGCCUUUGAAACGUGAGCGCUAGCUUACGUGGAGGCGCUGGUGGGAUACUACCCUAGCUGUGUUGGCUUUCUAACCCGCACCACUUAUCGUGGUGGGAGACAGUGUCAGGCGGGCAGUUUGACUGGGGCGGUCGCCUCCUAAAAGGUAACGGAGGCGCUCAAAGGUUCCCUCAGAAUGGUUGGAAAUCAUUCAUAGAGUGUAAAGGCAUAAGGGAGCUUGACUGCGAGACCUACAAGUCGAGCAGGGUCGAAAGACGGACUUAGUGAUCCGGUGGUUCCGCAUGGAAGGGCCAUCGCUCAACGGAUAAAAGCUACCCCGGGGAUAACAGGCUUAUCUCCCCCAAGAGUUCACAUCGACGGGGAGGUUUGGCACCUCGAUGUCGGCUCAUCGCAUCCUGGGGCUGUAGUCGGUCCCAAGGGUUGGGCUGUUCGCCCAUUAAAGCGGUACGCGAGCUGGGUUCAGAACGUCGUGAGACAGUUCGGUCCCUAUCCGUCGUGGGCGUAGGAAAUUUGAGAGGAGCUGUCCUUAGUACGAGAGGACCGGGAUGGACAUACCUCUGGUGUACCAGUUGUCGUGCCAACGGCAUAGCUGGGUAGCUAUGUGUGGACGGGAUAAGUGCUGAAAGCAUCUAAGCAUGAAGCCCCCCUCAAGAUGAGAUUUCCCAACUUCGGUUAUAAGAUCCCUCAAAGAUGAUGAGGUUAAUAGGUUCGAGGUGGAAGCAUGGUGACAUGUGGAGCUGACGAAUACUAAUCGAUCGAAGACUUAAUCAA